Molecule: unclassified non-coding RNA, 727 nt
Filed under: Hevea brasiliensis (rubber tree)
Lineage: Eukaryota; Viridiplantae; Streptophyta; Magnoliopsida; Malpighiales; Euphorbiaceae
Source: RNAcentral
AGUGAUGUGGAAAACCCAUAUAAUCCUCACUCCCUGAAAUGGUUUUCAACGAUUAACAAGCCAACAAACAAACGAAAGAAAAAGAAAGGAAAAAGAGUGAUGUAUUAGUGUGUAGUCACCUCAAGGGAAGCGGAAAACAAGAAAACUUCCCUGGACCAUGGUCUAUGGUGCAUCAAGAGUCUUGAUCCACCAUGGACCACGUUCAAGCGAGAAUUACCACCCUUUAGGAGGGGUGAAAAUUAUAAGCACUCUCUGCCUUGAGUUUAUACCCAGACCAUGGCUUCAACAAUUUUUACCAUAGAGAUUAAAACAUUCACUUUCAAGCCAUGUGCUGUUAGAGAAUAUGAACAGACAUGAAUUCGUUAAGACUUAAACAAGGCCCAAUUUCCAGAUUCACGGGAUAAGGCUUUUCAACUUUUGUGGCUCUACUCUUAAUAUUGACAAACUCCUAGCUAAUUGCAUAAAAGGUGCGCAAGGGUGGCCACAAGGUUGAAUGGUACAUGUGGAUUCAAAAGAGAAGACCCACCACCUAAAGCAAUGGCCUCAAAUUGGAAUUGAAAUACACUUGUCUACACACCAUAAUUAGAUCGUGUUCGUACUCGUAAAUAGGGAUGGCAAAGGGUCCGGUUUUUGCGGGUAUUCAAUUCAACUGAACCCUAAUAUGAUGGGUUUGAGUAGUGUAUAAUCGAAUUUGAAACGGAUUCAGAUUUUAUAUGUUGAGUAUCCG